Molecule: ribosomal RNA, 253 nt
Filed under: uncultured bacterium
Lineage: Bacteria
Description: partial 16S ribosomal RNA
Rfam family: Bacterial small subunit ribosomal RNA
Source: RNAcentral
UACGAAGGGUGCAAGCGUUACUCGGAAUUACUGGGCGUAAAGCGUGCGUAGGCGGUUUGUUAAGUCCGUUGUGAAAGCCCUGGGCUCAACCUAGGAAUUGCAGUGGAUACUGGCGAGCUAGAGUGCGGUAGAGGAUGGUGGAAUUCCCGGUGUAGCGGUGAAAUGCGUAGAGAUCGGGAGGAACACCCGUGGCGAAGGCGGCCAUCUGGACCAGCACUGACGCUGAGGCACGAAAGCGUGGGGAGCAAACAGG